GGUUAAGUUAUUAAGGGCUUACGGUGGAUGCCUUGGGACCAAGGGCCGAUGAAGGGCGCGGUAAGGCUGUGAUAAGCCUCGAUGAGCCGUCUAACAGGCAUAGUCGGGGGUGCCCGAAUGGGGUAACCUGUUCCGGUGUUGAGCCGGUUCAUCCUUCCCGUAAGGGAAGGAGGGUAAGCGGGGGAACUGAAACAUCUAAGUACCCCGAGGAAAAUAAAUCAACCGAGAUUCCCUGAGUAGUGGCGAA
Molecule: ribosomal RNA, 247 nt
Filed under: Chloroflexota bacterium
Lineage: Bacteria; Bacillati; Chloroflexota
Description: Chloroflexi bacterium (marine sediment metagenome) partial 23S ribosomal RNA
Rfam family: Bacterial large subunit ribosomal RNA
Source: RNAcentral